This 242-nucleotide long non-coding RNA is filed under the name Elaeis guineensis (African oil palm). RNAcentral describes it as "long non-coding RNA (EGUI_LNC029197)". The record is from RNAcentral. Lineage: Eukaryota; Viridiplantae; Streptophyta; Magnoliopsida; Arecales; Arecaceae.
UGUGUUAAGAGAGGCCAUGAGUAAGCUUUUCAGCAAUCGUGGAGGAUGUGAAGGACUAGGUGGUAUGUAGUGGGAGUGCUCGGCCAAAUUUUGUACAUCUUAGGAAAGUCUUUUAAUCUCUUCUUUCUUCGCUGCAGUUUAUUUUCCUGCAUGUUCCUAUAGUUUAGGCAUAUCGGAGAACUCGGUCCUUUGUUUUCAAGAUUUUAAUGCGGCAAGGUCUUCCAAUGCCUCUCUUGCCCACC